RNAcentral lists this transfer RNA (72 nucleotides) under Myxococcales bacterium. Its description in RNAcentral is "tRNA-Glu". It matches the Rfam family "tRNA". Rfam says of the family: Transfer RNA (tRNA) molecules are approximately 80 nucleotides in length. The record is from RNAcentral. RNAcentral also lists the same sequence under 1 other name. Lineage: Bacteria; Pseudomonadati; Myxococcota; Myxococcia; Myxococcales.
GCGGGCGUGGUCCAACGGCAGCGACGCCGGUUUUUCACACCGGAGGAGAGGGUUCGACUCCCUUCGCCCGUA